RNAcentral lists this ribosomal RNA (204 nucleotides) under uncultured Desulfocapsa sp. RNAcentral describes it as "partial 16S ribosomal RNA". It matches the Rfam family "Bacterial small subunit ribosomal RNA", at positions 1179 to 1382 of the family's 1533-position model. Lineage: Bacteria; Pseudomonadati; Thermodesulfobacteriota; Desulfobulbia; Desulfobulbales; Desulfocapsaceae. The record is from RNAcentral.
AUGACGUCAAGUCCUCAUGGCCUUUAUGCCUAGGGCUACACACGUGCUACAAUGGCCGGUACAAAGGGCAGCCACUUAGCGAUAAGGAGCCAAUCCCGUAAAGCCGGUCUCAGUCCGGAUUGGAGUCUGCAACUCGACUCCAUGAAGUUGGAAUCGCUAGUAAUCGCAGAUCAGCACGCUGCGGUGAAUACGUUCCCGGGCCUU